RNAcentral lists this transfer RNA (73 nucleotides) under Rhodothermales bacterium. RNAcentral describes it as "tRNA-Lys". It matches the Rfam family "tRNA". From Rfam's summary of the family: Transfer RNA (tRNA) molecules are approximately 80 nucleotides in length. Lineage: Bacteria; Pseudomonadati; Rhodothermota; Rhodothermia; Rhodothermales. RNAcentral also lists the same sequence under 2 other names. The record is from RNAcentral.
GCUCCUCUAGCUCAGUUGGUAGAGCAGCUGACUCUUAAUCAGCGGGUCGUAGGUUCGAGUCCUACGGGGAGCA